This 480-nucleotide ribosomal RNA is filed under the name uncultured bacterium. RNAcentral's name for it is "partial 16S ribosomal RNA". It matches the Rfam family "Bacterial small subunit ribosomal RNA", at positions 28 to 506 of the family's 1533-position model. The record is from RNAcentral.
GAUGAACGCUGGCGGCGUGCUUAACACAUGCAAGUCGAACGAAGCACUUUAUUUGAUUUCCUUCGGGACUGAUUAUUUUGUGACUGAGUGGCGGACGGGUGAGUAACGCGUGGGUAACCUGCCUUGUGCAGGGGGAUAACAGUUGGAAACGGCUGCUAAUACCGCAUAAGCGCACAGCAUCGCAUGAUGCAGUGUGAAAAACUCCGGUGGUAUAAGAUGGACCCGCGUUGGAUUAGCUAGUUGGUGAGGUAACGGCCCACCAAGGCGACGAUCCAUAGCCGACCUGAGAGGGUGACCGGCCACAUUGGGACUGAGACACGGCCCAAACUCCUACGGGAGGCAGCAGUGGGGAAUAUUGCACAAUGGGCGAAAGCCUGAUGCAGCGACGCCGCGUGAGCGAAGAAGUAUUUCGGUAUGUAAAGCUCUAUCAGCAGGGAAGAUAAUGACGGUACCUGACUAAGAAGCACCGGCUAAAUACGU